RNAcentral lists this ribosomal RNA (828 nucleotides) under Triticum aestivum (bread wheat). RNAcentral's name for it is "partial small subunit ribosomal RNA". The record is from RNAcentral. Lineage: Eukaryota; Viridiplantae; Streptophyta; Magnoliopsida; Poales; Poaceae.
AUGCCGCCGCCCCGCCGCGCCGGCGCGGGCGACACGAGCGCCUUCUUCGCGGCGACGCUGGUGCUGUGGGCCGUGUCGGUGGGGUUCGAGAUCGGCGCCCGGGGACGCCGCGAGCUGGCCGCCGUGGCCGCCGGCUUCGCCUUCUUCCAGGCCGCCAACACGGCCGUCCGCGCCGCGGUCUCCCGCGACCCGCUCUUCGUCAACACCGCCGUCUCGCUGCUCCACUCCUCCCUCACNNNNNNNNNNNUUAUCUUUGUUCUAUUGUGCCAAUGGCGUACCAAAGGCCUUGAGAACAUGUUUCAGCAUGAAGAAUUAGUUGGUAGCAGUUGGAUUGGAGCAUAUUCUGCUCUGUGCUUUUCAUGUGGCUACUUUGCUUAUGACCAAUUGGAUAUGCUCCGCUACCGGCUGUACAGUGGAUGGAUUCCUGGGAUUCUGAUGCAUCACCUUAUUCUGCUUAUUUGCUUUACGCUAGCUCUGUAUCGGAAUGUGACAAUCAACUACCUAAUUCUCACUCUUCUAUGCGAGAUGCACUCCAUAUUCUUGCACGUAAGGAAAUUGAGGAGAAUGGCUGGAUUCCGUGAUUUCAACAGAAAACUGGUGAAACUGGAAUGGGUACUCAACUGGACUACCUUUGUGACAGCAAGGGUGAUCUGCCACAUAUUGAUCACAUACAGACUGAUCACCGACGCACACAAGUUUGAUAAGGGCAUUGAGCUGCCACUAGCUCUUUCUGGUAUGGCGGGAAUGAAUGUGCUCAAUGUAUCUUUAGGGCUUGAUCUAUUUAAAGCAUUUGCGCGAGAGAGAAAUCAGCAGACGCAUCAGGACUGA